Molecule: ribosomal RNA, 801 nt
Filed under: Triticum aestivum (bread wheat)
Lineage: Eukaryota; Viridiplantae; Streptophyta; Magnoliopsida; Poales; Poaceae
Description: partial small subunit ribosomal RNA
Source: RNAcentral
AUGCCCUGUCCGGUUGAAGCUAAACGCAAAUGGAGCAUGGUGGGUGUCACCAAAUAUUUCAAAGAACACAACCACGACCUCACAAAGAAGUUUGACCUAGUAAAAAUUCUGAGCGCCCACAGAGGAUUCAGCCGCAUCAAGAAGAAAUUCAUAAGGUUGCUACAUGAUUGUAACGUCGGUCCAUCAAGAAUGGUCCAAAUACGGUCCCUGGUCCACAGCGGAGAUGGUAGUCUGAGUAGCAUGCCCUACAUACCAGCAGAUGUCACAAACCUAAAGGCAAAGUACCGUAGAGAGAGCAGGUUGGAUGACAUAGAAGACACAAUAGGCUACUUCGAAGAGAAAGCAAAAGCAGAUAAUGAUUUCUUCUAUAGGAUAAGAUUGGACGAUGAGGACCAUGUCAGAAACAUGUAUUGGGUGGAUGGUGCUGCAAGAAGAGCCUACAAACAUUUCCGUGAUUGCAUUUCGUUCGACGCGACAUAUCUCACGAAUAUGUGCAAGAUGCCCUGUGAUCCAUUCAUAGGAAUAAAUAACCACAAUCAGUCCUUGCAGUUCGGUUGCGGUCUCGUUCAGAACGAAGAUACCGAUGGUUACAGGCUGUUCAAAACCUUCUUGGAGUGCAUGGAUGGACUUGCUCCGAUGAACAUAAUAACAGACCAGGAUGUUAGCAUGCGCGCAGGCAUAGAGGAGGUCUUUCCAUCGGCAGUGCACAGGCACUACAGGUGGCAUAUUAUUAAGAAGGAUGAAGAGACGCUAGGACCAUUCUUCGCUGACCGUCCAGAGCUACACAAGGCAUUCGAGUAG